RNAcentral lists this small nucleolar RNA (145 nucleotides) under Echinops telfairi (small Madagascar hedgehog). RNAcentral's name for it is "Small nucleolar RNA SNORA67 (ENSETEG00000023853.1)". Lineage: Eukaryota; Metazoa; Chordata; Mammalia; Afrosoricida; Tenrecidae. The record is from RNAcentral.
UUCCCAGAAUCCUCAUAAGAAGGCCAUGCCCAACUAGUGCCCCUCUCAGGAAAAUAGCAGCUAGAAUAGAAUAUGGCCUGCCCAAGAUGUCCUUGGGUGAAAAGAAUGCUCUUCUCCUUUUGCCCUCCUUUGGCAUCCUACAUAG